RNAcentral lists this ribosomal RNA (609 nucleotides) under Hepatozoon canis. RNAcentral's name for it is "bacterial SSU rRNA". It matches the Rfam family "Eukaryotic small subunit ribosomal RNA", at positions 213 to 810 of the family's 1831-position model. Lineage: Eukaryota; Apicomplexa; Hepatozoidae. The record is from RNAcentral.
GAUAAAAAGCCAAUGCAUGCUUUUACAGUAUGGAAAUUGGUGAUUUAUAAUAACUUGGCAAAUCGCAAAGUGAAAACAGGCGAUAAAUCAUUCAAGUUUCUGACCUAUCAGCUUUCGACGGUAUGGUAUUGGCUUACCGUGGCAGUGACGGUUAACGGGGGAUUAGGGUUCGAUUCCGGAGAGGGAGCCUGAGAAACGGCUACCACAUCUAAGGAAGGCAGCAGGCGCGCAAAUUACCCAAUUCUAACAGUUUGAGAGAGGUAGUAACAAGAAAUAACAAUACAAGGCAAUUAAAAUGCUUUGUAAUUGGAAUGAUAGAAAUUUAAACCCUUUUUAAAGUAUCAAUUGGAGGGCAAGUCUGGUGCCAGCAGCCGCGGUAAUUCCAGCUCCAAUAGCGUAUAUUAAAAUUGUUGCAGUUAAAAAGCUCGUAGUUGAAGUUCUGCUAAAAGUAACCGGUCUGCUUUUAAUAAAAGUGGUAUCUUGGUGUGUAUUUAGCAAUGAUGUCCUUUGAAGUGUUUUUUACUUUAUUGUAAUAAAGCAUAUUCAGGACUUUUACUUUGAGAAAAUUAGAGUGUUUCUAGCAGGCCGACGCUUUGAAUACUGCAGCAU